RNAcentral lists this ribosomal RNA (392 nucleotides) under uncultured bacterium. RNAcentral describes it as "partial 16S ribosomal RNA". It matches the Rfam family "Bacterial small subunit ribosomal RNA", at positions 523 to 918 of the family's 1533-position model. The record is from RNAcentral.
AUACGGAAGAUGCGAGCGUUAUCCGGAUUUAUUGGGUUUAAAGGGAGCGUAGGCGGAAGGUUAAGUCUGCGGUAAAAUGGCCGUGCUCAACGCGGUCCUGCCGUGGAUACUGGUCUUCUUGAAUGUGCACAAGGAAGGUGGAAUUCGUGGUGUAGCGGUGAAAUGCUUAGAUAUCACGAAGAACUCCGAUUGCGAAGGCAUCCUUCUGGGGCAUGAUUGACGCUGAGGCUCGAAAGCUCGGGUAUCAAACAGGAUUAGAUACCCUGGUAGUCCGCGCCGUAAACGAUGAAUACCCGUCGUUGGCGAUACACGGUCAGCGACCAAGCGAAAGCAUUAAGUAUUCCACCUGGGGAGUACGCCGGCAACGGUGAAACUCAAAGGAAUCGACGGGG